GAGGGUAGAGCUCAGUGGUAGAGCUCAUGCUUAGCAUGCAGGGGGUCCUGGGUUCAAUCCCCAGUACCUCCA
Molecule: transfer RNA, 72 nt
Filed under: Camelus bactrianus (Bactrian camel)
Lineage: Eukaryota; Metazoa; Chordata; Mammalia; Artiodactyla; Camelidae
Also listed under: 2 other names
Rfam family: tRNA
About the family: Transfer RNA (tRNA) molecules are approximately 80 nucleotides in length. Their secondary structure includes four short double-helical elements and three loops (D, anti-codon, and T loops).
Source: Rfam by way of RNAcentral